AGUGAACGCUGGCGGUAGGCCUAACACAUGCAAGUCGAACGGCAGCACAGUAAGAGCUAGCUCUUACGGGUGGCGAGUGGCGGACGGGUGAGGAAUACAUCGGAAUCUACUUUUUCGUGGGGGAUAACGUAGGGAAACUUACGCUAAUACCGCAUACGACCUACGGGUGAAAGCAGGGGAUCUUCAGACCUUGCGCGAUUGAAUGAGCCGAUGUCGGAUUAGCUAGUUGGCGGGGUAAAGGCCCACCAAGGCGACGAUCCGUAGCUGGUCUGAGAGGAUGAUCAGCCACACUGGAACUGAGACACGGUCCAGACUCCUACGGGAGGCAGCAGUGGGGAAUAUUGGACAAUGGGCGCAAGCCUGAUCCAGCCAUACCGCGUGGGUGAAGAAGGCCUUCGGGUUGUAAAGCCCUUUUGUUGGGAAAGAAAAGCAGCAGGUUAAUACCCCGCUGUUCCGACGGUACCCAAAGAAUAAGCACCGGCUAACUUCGUG
Molecule: ribosomal RNA, 492 nt
Filed under: uncultured bacterium
Lineage: Bacteria
Description: partial 16S ribosomal RNA
Rfam family: Bacterial small subunit ribosomal RNA
Source: RNAcentral